This 497-nucleotide ribosomal RNA is filed under the name uncultured bacterium. Its description in RNAcentral is "partial 16S ribosomal RNA". It matches the Rfam family "Bacterial small subunit ribosomal RNA", at positions 28 to 507 of the family's 1533-position model. The record is from RNAcentral.
GAUGAACGCUGGCGGCGUGCCUAAUACAUGCAAGUCGAGCGAACAGACGAGGAGCUUGCUCCUCUGACGUUAGCGGCGGACGGGUGAGUAACACGUGGAUAACCUACCUAUAAGACUGGGAUAACUUCGGGAAACCGGAGCUAAUACCGGAUAAUAUAUUGAACCGCAUGGUUCAAUAGUGAAAGACGGUUUUGCUGUCACUUAUAGAUGGAUCCGCGCCGCAUUAGCUAGUUGGUAAGGUAACGGCUUACCAAGGCAACGAUGCGUAGCCGACCUGAGAGGGUGAUCGGCCACACUGGAACUGAGACACGGUCCAGACUCCUACGGGAGGCAGCAGUAGGGAAUCUUCCGCAAUGGGCGAAAGCCUGACGGAGCAACGCCGCGUGAGGGAUGAAGGUCUUCGGAUCGGAAAACUCUGUUAUUAGGGAAGAACAAAUGUGUAAGUAACUAUGCACGUCUUGACGGUACCUAAUCAGAAAGCCACGGCUAACUACGUG